GUACCACAAACUGAGUGGCUUAAACAACAGAAAUUUAUCGUCUCUCAGUUCUAGAGGCAAGAAGUCUGAGAUCAAGGUGUCAGCAGGGCUGGUUUCCUCUGAGGGCUGUGCGGGAAGGAUCUGUUCCAGGCCUCUCUGACUUGUAUGUGGCUGCCUUCUCCCGCCUUCACUUUGUCUUCUUUGGGAUGGCUGCCACAACCCCAGACCUCUUGUCUAUAGUCCAAGCAUGAAGAAGGAGGGAAAAGUUUAGUGAAAUGACAAGGAUGGCCAGUAAAGAGGCACUUUGCUGGCCAAGAACCCCAUGUGGGGCUGUGACAGGCAGAAGGAUGGCUCCUUGAAGAUACUCAUGUCCUAAUUCCCAGAACAUGUGAAUAUGCUACUUCAACAGCAAAAGGGACGUUGCAGAUGUAAAUUACGGACCUCGAGACCGGGAGAUUAUUCUGGAUUGUCUGGUGGACCCACUGUAAUCACAAGGUUCAUAUAAGGGAAAUAGGGAAGCAGGAGAGUCGGAGAAGGAGAUGGGAUGAUGGAGGCAGAGGUUGGAGUGAUGCAAUUGCUAGCUUUGAAGGUAGAGGAAGAGACCUUAAGCCAAGGAAUGUGGGUGGCUUCUAGAAGCUAAAAAAAGGCAAACAAACAAACAAACAACAACCCUGCAACAGAUUCUUCCCUAGACCCUCCAGAAGGAACACUGCCUUGCUAACACCUUGAUUUUAGCCCAGUAAAAUUCAUUUUGAACUUCUAACCUGCAGAACCAUAAGAUAAUAAAUGUUUGUCAUUUUAAACUACUUAUGUUUGUGGUGAU
Molecule: long non-coding RNA, 802 nt
Filed under: Homo sapiens (human)
Lineage: Eukaryota; Metazoa; Chordata; Mammalia; Primates; Hominidae
Description: HSALNT0223544
Source: RNAcentral